This is a long non-coding RNA of Corvus hawaiiensis (hawaiian crow), 932 nucleotides long. RefSeq lists it as uncharacterized. Lineage: Eukaryota; Metazoa; Chordata; Aves; Passeriformes; Corvidae. The record is from RefSeq and is a predicted model, not a curated record. The transcript is spliced from 4 exons.
GACCAAGCUCUGCUGCUCUGCAUGCCCUCGUUACCACUGAGGAGAAAAUCAAUACAUCACAGCAACAUUAAUUGAACCCCCAGACUAUAUUCCAUUUCCAUGUGGAAUCCAAGAGCUGCAAUAUUCAAUCCUUUUUAAACGUGUUAUAAAAUUUUUUUUGUAGUCUUUGCAACAAAAAGAACUUCAAAAUUUCUGAGAUUCCAACUUACAUAACCCUGCAAAUGCUGAUUAUGAGCAAGAAAGGAAGAUUUGGAACUCGACCCAAAAAGUGGUUUAAGCACCUGAAGAAAAGCCGUAGAUACUCUGAUUUGCUCAUUAUAAUGGCCUGCAAUGAUUUCCCUAAGUUUGGUUGCGUUUCCUGUACUCCCUAACACCUUUUUGUUAUGACGGAAUUUUUUUGGGAUGACCAUUAUCUUGUAAGUCUCAGGCGUUUGGGAAUUGAAGAUCAGUUUCCCCCAUUUACAGCCAGGCAAAGACUGGCAGUUGAACCCUUAAUGAUUCUCUAGAAACUGCUGAUAAAAAUUUAUGAGGUCUGCUCCUUUCCUGCUGGACAGAAAGUCACCGAAAUGACUUUCUUUGGGGUAAACUCAGUUGUGAGCAAGACACUCUGCUGCUUUUUAUCCUUCUCCAGCCAGAAGAGUCAGUACCUUGCUGAUAAAAGCCUGGUGACUACUUUCUUGUAAUAUGUGUGUAUUUUGAUGAUAGCUGCAUUUGAGUGAAGACUGGAGCUAUGGAAUUACAUUUCAUAUUUUUUUUUCCCUGCUUCCUAUUGCCACAUCCUUCAAACCCUCAGGUCUGCCUGGAAGUGGAGAGAUAGAAAACAGCAGAACAGAAAAUGGACACACUGUUGAGGUGAUUUAGGACCUCUUACAGACUUUCCCACAUUUUACUUCACUUGCAAUAGUUUGACCAAAAUCAGUUUAACUGUUCAC